This 108-nucleotide ribosomal RNA is filed under the name Echinops telfairi (small Madagascar hedgehog). Lineage: Eukaryota; Metazoa; Chordata; Mammalia; Afrosoricida; Tenrecidae. The record is from RNAcentral.
GUCUACGGCCCUACCACCCUGAACGUGCCUGAUUUCAUCUCAUCUUGGAAGCUAAGCAGGUUCAGGCCUGAUUAGGACUUGGAUGGGAGACAACAGCUAUUCUGAAUC